Molecule: ribosomal RNA, 254 nt
Filed under: uncultured bacterium
Lineage: Bacteria
Description: partial 16S ribosomal RNA
Rfam family: Archaeal small subunit ribosomal RNA
Source: RNAcentral
CACCUGCGCCACGAGUGGGAGUCACGGUUAUUGGGUCUAAAGUGUUCGUAGCCGGUAUUGCAAGUCUUUUGUGAAAUCAUCAAGCUUAACUUGAUGGCGCGCAAAAGAUACUGCUUUACUAGGGACUGGGAGGAGCUGAGGGUAUUCCGGGGGGAGCGGUAAAAUGUGAUAAUCCUCGGAGGACCACCGGUGGCGAAAGCGUUCAGCUAGAACAGGUCCGACGGUGAGGAACGAAGGCUGGGGGAGCAAAACGG